GGCAAGAAAUCAUUCAUAUGUCAAUUGAGUCCAAUCCGUGCAGACUCCGAUCUGAUUGGGUCGGACCCGAUUCAAGUCCAUGGUUAGGGCUCGUUGCGGCGAGAAGCCUAUGGAUUCCCCCGAUGCCCGGGAGGAGGAGGGACCGGCCGGGAGAAGGAAGGAGAAAGAUCGAACCAGCAAAGGAAGGAAAGAAAGAGGCCAAGAACGGCUGGUGGAUCGGGAUUUCGUGGGACGAGGAUACUGCGAUUUGGUUAUCAUUGCUCGAUCCACUGGCGACUCAUUUGGUAAGCCAAAUUUACUUCCCCACGAUACCGAUCCAAAGAAAGAUGCGGCCUUUAUCCUCUGCGAGCUCAUAAAUAGCGAGAAGGAACGUAGAGUACAACAGGGCAGUGAUAUCUUCUUAUCCUUUACGUGCGUUUCUCACUUGGUCUUGUACGGUUCUUUGGGGACGUUGUGACCGAUCGGUCGAUCGUAUCUUCGGCUGUGAGCAGAGCACAGGAUCCUUUCCGCAGGUCUCCAACAUACUUAUAUAGCUUGAAAAUUUUGCAAGUUCUUCCCUACAAAAAAGGAUGGAG
Long non-coding RNA from Musa acuminata AAA Group (dessert banana), 575 nucleotides. RefSeq lists it as uncharacterized. Lineage: Eukaryota; Viridiplantae; Streptophyta; Magnoliopsida; Zingiberales; Musaceae. The transcript has 2 exons. The record is from RefSeq and is a predicted model, not a curated record.